This 253-nucleotide ribosomal RNA is filed under the name uncultured bacterium. Its description in RNAcentral is "partial 16S ribosomal RNA". It matches the Rfam family "Bacterial small subunit ribosomal RNA", at positions 524 to 776 of the family's 1533-position model. The record is from RNAcentral.
UACAGAGGGGGCAAGCGUUGUUCGGAAUUACUGGGCGUAAAGGGCGCGUAGGCGGCCUGUUAAGUCGAACGUGAAAUCCCCGGGCUCAACCCGGGAACUGCGUCCGAUACUGGCAGGCUUGAAUUCGGGAGAGGGAUGCGGAAUUCCAGGUGUAGCGGUGAAAUGCGCAGAUAUCAGGAAGAACACCCGUGGCGAAAGCGGCUCUCUGGAACGGUACUGACGCUGAGACGCGAAAGCGUGGGGAGCGAACAGG